Molecule: ribosomal RNA, 550 nt
Filed under: uncultured Funneliformis
Lineage: Eukaryota; Fungi; Glomeromycota; Glomeromycetes; Glomerales; Glomeraceae
Description: SSU rRNA
Rfam family: Eukaryotic small subunit ribosomal RNA
Source: RNAcentral
UUGGAGGGCAAGUCUGGUGCCAGCAGCCGCGGUAAUUCCAGCUCCAAUAGCGUAUAUUAAAGUUGUUGCAGUUAAAAAGCUCGUAGUUGAAUUUCGGGAUCAAUGUUUCGGUCAUGCCGUUGGUAUGUACUGAUAUUAUUGAUUUCUCACCUUCUAAAGAACCGUAAUGCCAUUAAUUUGGUGUCACGGGGAAUUAGGACUGUUACCUUGAAAAAAUUAGAGUGUUUAAAGCAGGCUCACGCUUGAAUACAUUAGCAUGGAAUAAUGAAAUAGGACAUCCGAUUCUAUUUUGUUGGUUUCUAGGAUCGAUGUAAUGAUUAAUAGGGAUAGUUGGGGGCAUUAGUAUUCAAUUGUCAGAGGUGAAAUUCUUGGAUUUAUUGAAGACUAACUACUGCGAAAGCAUUUGCCAAGGAUGUUUUCAUUAAUCAAGAACGAAAGUUAGGGGAUCGAAGACGAUCAGAUACCGUCGUAGUCUUAACCAUAAACUAUGCCGACUAGGGAUCGGAUGAUGUUGAUUUUUUAAUGACUCAUUCGGCGCCUUACGGGAAAC